UGUGGCCUACGGGGGGCAGCAGUGGGGAAUAUUGGGCAAUGGACGCAAGUCUGACCCAGCAACGCCGCGUGAAGGAAGAAGGCUUUCGGGUUGUAAACUUCUUUUAAGGGGGAAGAGCAGAAGACGGUACCCCUUGAAUAAGCCACGGCUAACUACGUGCCAGCAGCCGCGGUAAUACGUAGGUGGCAAGCGUUGUCCGGAUUUACUGGGUGUAAAGGGCGUGAAGCCGGAGAGACAAGUCAGAUGGGAACUCCACGGGAUGAACCCGUGAA
This 272-nucleotide ribosomal RNA is filed under the name uncultured bacterium. RNAcentral describes it as "partial 16S ribosomal RNA". It matches the Rfam family "Bacterial small subunit ribosomal RNA", at positions 333 to 620 of the family's 1533-position model. The record is from RNAcentral.